This is a long non-coding RNA of Engraulis encrasicolus (European anchovy), 996 nucleotides long. RefSeq lists it as uncharacterized. Lineage: Eukaryota; Metazoa; Chordata; Actinopteri; Clupeiformes; Engraulidae. The transcript has 5 exons. The record is from RefSeq and is a predicted model, not a curated record.
AGUAUCUAGUGAAACACACAUGCAAACGCCCUUCUGUCCCUCAUUCCCUCAAACUCGAUCUUCUACAUUUGUUGUGUAAAAAGGACAUAGCAAGUUUUUUGUAUCAAUGAUCACUUUAGGAUAUUCCAGUGCAUUUACAUUCAAUAUAUACUGUACCUUGAGUGAGGUAGAAAUGCAUAUUGUUGCAAAUAUAAAUACUGUUAAUUUGUUAUUUUUUGUAAUUAAUCAUUUACUGAAUUUCUUUGUAGAAUAUGUUACUAUUAUUUGGGUUUUUGUUCUCUGCAUAACUGUCUCUUUCACCUAUAUUAAUUCCUCAGCAUUCAAGAUGUUUGUAGGGUCCUCACCUCAGCUACCUCUCACAAGGUGCCCCUGAAAAAGAAAUUCAAGACGUUUGGGUCCUCAGCUCAACUGACCAAGACCUUUGCUCAUUGAAGGCAUGAAGUAAUUUGUGAUGCCCCCACGAUUGCAGUUUUUAAAUCCAGAUGGCUUGCUCUUUUUAACAUGUGCGAGAGCUGGAUGGUCUUUCAACAACACUGCUCCGGGUCUUCAGCAAGAAAGGUGCUUCUCAUGCAAGGAAGAUACAGAGGAUCCUGGUGCCCAUGACUCAGACUGACAACAUUGAUGUGAAGAGGGAGUGCAUGCUGAGGAGCUGACGGUCUACCUGAAUGAAGAGCCAGACAAAGUGGAUGUUGAUCUGGACGGUCCAGCUGAAACGUAUUGUCUUCGUGUGCGUGUGAUCGGCAGAGAGUCCUCAACGACAUUGGUAACGUACCUGUGGCCAUUGCAGUGUUUGUUUUGGUUUAUGCUCUUAAUCUCUGUUACCUUCCAGAAUGGAAGUACACUUUCAAAUUUCUGUUUCAUUCUAACCGUCUGUUUCAUCAGUUUUUGCACUGCUUUUAAAUGUACACUGUGUAAGAUUCUUAGUUGUUUAUUUCCAGAAUUCAUGCUACCCAUUCACUAAUGUUACCUUUUUCAUGAAUACUUAGCACCACCAUU